This 220-nucleotide unclassified non-coding RNA is filed under the name Hevea brasiliensis (rubber tree). The record is from RNAcentral. Lineage: Eukaryota; Viridiplantae; Streptophyta; Magnoliopsida; Malpighiales; Euphorbiaceae.
UGAAGAUGAACAAGAAGAAGAAUUUGAAGAUCGACUUGAAUCUGAAAUUGAGGAACAAAAAGAGCAGUUUGAAGAGUCUUAGCUUGGUGAAAAUUUGGUUGUUACGCUUUUAGCUCUAGUGGUUGUGCAUUUUGAAAUCCAAGUUGAUAAGCCUGAGUUGGAAACUUUUUAGCCUCCUACUUUGCCAUCUAGGGUUUUUGUAGGUCAACAAGUGCCAAAG